GAGAGAGGCUGGACGGCUGCCGGACCUUCAGGUCUGAGGAAAGUCUCCCCACCGCUCCGGACACACGAACAUCUGUAAAGGAUGUCGGGCGAGAGCCCGGGCCCUGGCACAGAAACGAUAACCAUCCCCUGCAAAUGCGAUGAUGCCAUAAGCUGAGGUCGCAGGGAGAGUGGAUGAAACGGCGAAUCCUCGUGGGUGCAAGUUGGAAAUCGGGAAGUACGAGCAGUCCGGAAUNNNNNNNNNNGUCCGGAAUCGUCCCGGUUGGUUUUGGUAACGCUUAGCCGAAUGCCGUCGCUGCAAGAGUCCUCAGGGACCGUUUCUUACACUGCUGGGUGCAAGAAAGCUUUGCAGUAACAGAAGGGAGCUUACACGCCUCACUC
RNAcentral lists this RNase P RNA (380 nucleotides) under Methanosarcina mazei. Its description in RNAcentral is "RNase P RNA component". It matches the Rfam family "Archaeal RNase P". From Rfam's summary of the family: Ribonuclease P (RNase P) is a ubiquitous endoribonuclease, found in archaea, bacteria and eukarya as well as chloroplasts and mitochondria. The record is from RNAcentral. Lineage: Archaea; Methanobacteriati; Methanobacteriota; Methanomicrobia; Methanosarcinales; Methanosarcinaceae.